This is a long non-coding RNA of Danaus plexippus (monarch butterfly), 540 nucleotides long. RefSeq lists it as uncharacterized. The record is from RefSeq and is a predicted model, not a curated record. The transcript has 2 exons. NCBI's taxonomy places the organism in Eukaryota, Metazoa, Arthropoda, Insecta, Lepidoptera, Nymphalidae.
GAAGGCCAUAUUUUAAACAAACAACAACAUUAAUUGCAUUUAAAUUAUAUUAGUUAAGACAAUUGACUUGAAUUUUAAUUGUUUUAAUACUUUUUAACUAUUUUGUUUAUUUACGCAAAUAAUCUUAUUUUGCAGUUCAAACUUGUUGGACAAUAUUUAAGUAGAACAAACAGGCUUUUGUCAAAUAUGACAUAUUUCAAAAAUGAAGAAACAAAAAAAAUUUUUGUUUAAAUUUUACAAGCAACUCGAAUGUUUAUAAGGUGACUAUAUUGUGUACUAUGAUUAAGGAGAUUUUACGAGCCGAUCCAGAACACGGUGUAUUAUUUUAUUCAAGUUUAAAAACUUGUUCGACAGUUUUUGCUGUUCUGGGAGCGGUAUGGUGGUGUUCCGAUUACUUCGUAAUAAAAAAAUAUAGAAUAACUUCUUUAUUGAAAUAUCGUAUAUUUGUUUAUAUCUAUAAAGUUGUGUUUGCACUUUAUUUCAUUUGCAUACUGUUGUUGAUUUUGCAAAUAAAUAGAUAACAUUUGUGUCUGAUCAACA